GAAAAAGACUGUAAGAACUGCUAACUCUUAAUCCCACACUUAAUACCAGUGGCUUUUUCA
RNAcentral lists this transfer RNA (60 nucleotides) under Atelerix albiventris (middle-African hedgehog). RNAcentral describes it as "tRNA-Ser". Lineage: Eukaryota; Metazoa; Chordata; Mammalia; Eulipotyphla; Erinaceidae. The record is from RNAcentral.